CCUACGGGUGUCAGCAGUGAGGAAUAUUGGGCAAUGGACGAGAGUCUGAACCAGCCAAGUAGCGUGAAGGAUGACUGCCCUCUGAGUUGUAAACUUCUUUUAUAUGGGAAUAAAACGUUCCACGUGUGGGAUUUUGUAUGUACCAUAUGAAUAAGGAUCGGCUAACUCCGUGCCAGCAGCCGCGGUAAUACUGAGGAUCCGAGCGUUAUCCGGAUUUAUUGGGUUGAAAGGGAGCGUAGGUGGAUUGUUAAGGAAGUGGUGAAAGUUUGGGGCUCAACCUUAAAAUUACAGUUAAAACGGGCAGUCUUGAGUACAGUAGAGGUGGGCGGAAUUCGUGGUGUAGCGGUGAAAUGCUUAGAUAUCACGAAGAACUCCGAUUGCGAAGGCAGUUCACUGGACUGCAACUGACACUGAGGCUCGAAAGUGUGGGUAUCAAACAGGAUUAGAUACCCCUGUAGUC
This 460-nucleotide ribosomal RNA is filed under the name uncultured bacterium. RNAcentral describes it as "partial 16S ribosomal RNA". It matches the Rfam family "Bacterial small subunit ribosomal RNA", at positions 338 to 795 of the family's 1533-position model. The record is from RNAcentral.